This 474-nucleotide ribosomal RNA is filed under the name Streptomyces sp. 313A08. Its description in RNAcentral is "bacterial SSU rRNA". It matches the Rfam family "Bacterial small subunit ribosomal RNA", at positions 93 to 581 of the family's 1533-position model. The record is from RNAcentral. Lineage: Bacteria; Bacillati; Actinomycetota; Actinomycetes; Kitasatosporales; Streptomycetaceae.
UAGUGGCGAACGGGUGAGUAACACGUGGGCAAUCUGCCCUUCACUCUGGGACAAGCCCUGGAAACGGGGUCUAAUACCGGAUACCACUCCUGCCCGCAUGGGUGGGGGUUGAAAGCUCCGGCGGUGAAGGAUGAGCCCGCGGCCUAUCAGCUUGUUGGUGGGGUAAUGGCCCACCAAGGCGACGACGGGUAGCCGGCCUGAGAGGGCGACCGGCCACACUGGGACUGAGACACGGCCCAGACUCCUACGGGAGGCAGCAGUGGGGAAUAUUGCACAAUGGGCGAAAGCCUGAUGCAGCGACGCCGCGUGAGGGAUGACGGCCUUCGGGUUGUAAACCUCUUUCAGCAGGGAAGAAGCGAAAGUGACGGUACCUGCAGAAGAAGCGCCGGCUAACUACGUGCCAGCAGCCGCGGUAAUACGUAGGGCGCAAGCGUUGUCCGGAAUUAUUGGGCGUAAAGAGCUCGUAGGCGGCUU